This 406-nucleotide ribosomal RNA is filed under the name uncultured bacterium. RNAcentral's name for it is "partial 16S ribosomal RNA". It matches the Rfam family "Bacterial small subunit ribosomal RNA", at positions 29 to 526 of the family's 1533-position model. The record is from RNAcentral.
AUUGAACGCUGGCGGCAGGCCUAACACAUGCAAGUCGAACGCGUGGCGGACGGGUGAGUAAUGUCUGGGAAACUGCCCGAUGGAGGGGGCUAACGACUGGAAACGGUAGCUAAUACCGCAUACCAUCGGAUGUGCCCAGGGGGGAUUAGCUAGUAGGUGGGGUAACGGCUAACCUAGGCGACGAUCCCGAGCUGGUCUGAGAGGAUGACCAGCCAAACUGGAACUGAGACACGGUCCAGACUCCUACGGGAGGCAGCAGUGGGGAAUAUUGCACAAUGGGCGAAAGCCUGAUGCAGCCAUGCCGCGUGUAGGAAGAAGGCCUUCGGGUUGUAAAGUACUUUCAGCGAGGAGGCGUUACUCGCAGAAGAAGCACCGGCUAACUCCGUGCCAGCAGCCGCGGUAAUUC